This is a long non-coding RNA of Strongylocentrotus purpuratus (purple sea urchin), 2252 nucleotides long. RefSeq lists it as uncharacterized. The transcript is spliced from 2 exons. Lineage: Eukaryota; Metazoa; Echinodermata; Echinoidea; Camarodonta; Strongylocentrotidae. The record is from RefSeq and is a predicted model, not a curated record.
GUAAUACUUUUUUUUCAAAGGUAGCAGCCCAUUAUUCAAUCAAAUGCUUUAAUGUUCACAGCCUCUUCUCACCAAAUGGAAAUGUUAUUGUACACAGCCUCUUCUUAUCCAUUUGCUCUCCUACAAUGUGACUGAACUGUGCAACCUUUAUAUUACAGUAUUCCCCAGUGUUUCCAAGUCAUCAAAAAUAACCUUUCCUGAAAUAAAAUGUCAAGUUUUGUGGAAUUUGACUUUUUUGUUUUCUUUCAUGAUUUGUUAGGGAGGCUAAUGUCAUAGGUCUACAUCUUUUGUAAUACCAGAAUAUCAACUUUAAACUUUAAAACAAAAUUACACUUAAUUCAGAGAAAGGGUAUAAAACUAUAGGUUUCUGAAGCUAAACAAAUAAUAAAACAAAUAAUAUAUAAUUCACUUUUUCAGUAUUCCUUAAAUUCCUUUUGAUUCAAUUUAUUGGAUUUUCCCUCAAUUUUUUUAAAUAACUUGUUUUCCUUAAAAUUUCCUCGACAAAAACCUGAAUUUCCUGAAGUCUUUGACAUGUUAAAUUCCCAAAGCUGAGUCUCAACUCUUCUGGAAUGUGGACUUGGGACAAACAAUUAUCAAGCUGUUCACUGACUGGACCAUGGACUGCCCCAUCAAUCAAAUCACACAUAAUUAUCAUCAUCAAAAUAGGGUAUGCAACUAUGCAUGUGAAGUUCAUACACUACCAUUAUGUAGAGAUCAACACAAUAUACAAGUAUUAUUAGAAUUAAAUUUUUAAGAAACAUCUUUCCCACAGUCCCAAGCACUUCGUACAUUUUUUGUUUUACUUGAUUCACUCCUCAUAUGCAUGUAAUGUAUGUACAAUGAAUGUUAAAAACAAAAUGGAGUUAAUCUCUUAUCAACUACAACACUAUACAAAAACCAAAUUUACCAGAAAUAGCAUGGAUGUACUUCUUUUUAUAAGAUUGUAAAUAUAUCUAUAGAAUAUAUGACAUGUUAAAUAUAUUCAAAGGCCAAAUUGUUUUCUAUGUGAUAAAACAUGAUAUGUAUGCUAUUAAUAUCUUUAAAUUUAUCAAUAUAAAGUAAUUGUUUAUUUCCACAGUACAAUAUAUACAAAAAUAUACCAAGAAUUAUUUGACACUAUAUCAUCACGCAGGUAGCAAAUGCCUUCUAGUCCCAAAGGCAUUUCCUUGGCCCAAUAAUAAAUGCUUACCAUAAGUAUCUACCAUCACUAAACUUCAGAAAUAUUUCAUUUGAUGAACCAUUUUUUAAUCAUGAUUCAGUGAAAUUUCUUGCAAGAAAAUAAAUGAUAUGAAAAAAAAUCAAUCAAGUAAGGCAAUUGAUUCUCUUCACUGAUAUCAAAUAAACAAAUUAUGUGAAAUACAAGAGAAGUAUUAACCAUUGACUGCUGUACACAUCACUUAGAAUUAAAACCAUUAGCUGCAGUAGAACACAUGUAUACUUACAUAUAGAAAAGGAAUAUUACAGACACAAUAACAAUGAAUGAGAAACAGUUGUAUGUAUGUUUCAAUUGCACCAGAAAGAAGUUGUAUGUAUUCAAGAUAAAUAGCUAUAUCCAUUAAGUUAUAGACAAAAACAAGGUAAGUUAAAAAUAUAAAAAACCUUAACAGAAUACCUUACUUUAAUAUACAGUCAAACCUGCUUUAGUGACCACCUGUAUAGAAAGACCACCUGUCUAUAAAGACCUAAUUUUGUUGGUUUCCCUUGAAUAGGGUUUCUAAAUUAAACCUGUACUAAAGGAACCCUUUACAUUAAAGACCACCUGUCUAUAAAGACCACUUUUCAUAUUCCCUUGAGUGGUCCUUAUAUACAGGUUUCACUGUAGUAGGUAAUUAAGCCAUGUUUUUGUUGAAUAUAUAUAUUUUAAUGUUCAUGCGAGCCCUGUGGUUCAAUCACAACUAUCUGUAUGGACACACAGAUUCAAAUACCGGUAAUUAAAAGAAAGAAAGAAAAGGGUUAUCUAAAUUCAUGAUUGGAAUGAGCCUUACAUUGUCAUAGGGGAAAGGGGAACAAAAGUAGUUUAAUGUUGUUUCAGUUUUGUUUUAAUUUUGUUUUGUCAUUUGUAUGAUAUUCAAUGUAAUCAACUUACAUCAAAUAGUAUUAGAUAAUAGAAUAGAAGGUACUCUGGAUUCAGACAAUCGGGAUUCAAACACACUUCCGAGCACCAGGGAAUGUGUACCUGAAAAACUCCAUUGUUAAUCACAAAAUAAGGCACAGAAUCCAUACAAACAACAUCAAGAUUUAUAUAAAUUAAU